UGAAUACGAGAUGCUACGGCGUCGAAGCAGUCUAUGUCAUACUUCCAAGAAAAGCUCGCACUGUCAUAAACAAAUAAUGCCUGUACCAUAACCGACACAGGUGGGUAGGUAGAGUAUACUAAGGGGCGCGAGAUAACUCUCUCUAAGGAACUCGGCAAAAUGACUCCGUAACUUCGGGAGAAGGAGUGCCUUACUUAUAAGGUUGCAAUAACAAGAUCCAAGCAACUGUUUAUCAAAAACACAGGUCUCCGCUAAGUCGUAAGACGAUGUAUGGGGGCUGACGCCUGCCCAGUGCCAGAAGGUUAAAGAAGUUGGUUAGCAUUCGCGAAGCUGAUAACUGAAGCCCUGGUGAACGGCGGCCGUAACUAUAACGGUCCUAAGGUAGCGAAAUUCCUUGUCGGGUAAGUUCCGACCCGCACGAAAGGCGUAAUGAUUUGGAUACUGUCUCGGAGAGGGGCUCGGUGAAAUAGACUUGUCUGUGAAGAUGCGGACUACCUGCACCAGGACAGAAAGACCCUAUGAAGCUUUACUGUAACUUGAGAUUGAAAUUGGACUUUACUUGCGCAGUAUAGGUGGGAGGCGUUGAUAAUAUUCUUGCGGGAUUAUUUGAGCCAUCAGUGAGAUACCACUCUUGUAAUGUUAGAUUUCUAACUUUGUAUCAUUAUCUGGUCAAAGGACAGUUUCAGGCGGGCAGUUUGACUGGGGCGGUCGCCUCCUAAACGGUAACGGAGGCGCACAAAGGUUUCCUCUGAACGGGUAGAAAUCGUAUCUAGAGUGUAAAGGCAUAAGGAAGCUUGACUGUGAGACCUACAAGUCGAGCAGGGACGAAAGUCGGUCUUAGUGAUCUGACGGUGCUGAGUGGAAAGGCCGUCACUCAACGGAUAAAAGUUACUCUAAGGAUAACAGGCUGAUCUCCCCCAAGAGUUCACAUCGACGGGGAGGUUUGGCACCUCGAUGUCGGCUCAUCGCAUCCUGGGGCGGUAGUACGUCCCAAGGGUUGGGCUGUUCGCCCAUGAAAGCGGUACGCGAGCUGGGUUCAGAACGUCGUGAGACAGUUCGGUCCAUAUCCGGUGUAGGCGUUAGAAUAUUGAGAGGAGCCUUCUUUAGUACGAGAGGACCGAGAAGGACAUACCUCUGGUGUACCAGUUAUCGUGCCAACGGUAAACGCUGGGUAGCUAUGUAUGGAGUGGAUAACCGCUGAAAGCAUCUAAGUGGGAAGCCCACCUCAAGAUAAGUAUUCUCU
RNAcentral lists this ribosomal RNA (1243 nucleotides) under metagenome. RNAcentral describes it as "bacterial LSU rRNA". It matches the Rfam family "Bacterial large subunit ribosomal RNA", at positions 1564 to 2816 of the family's 2925-position model. The record is from RNAcentral.